This 341-nucleotide ribosomal RNA is filed under the name Gephyromantis luteus. RNAcentral's name for it is "partial 16S ribosomal RNA". It matches the Rfam family "Bacterial large subunit ribosomal RNA", at positions 2088 to 2597 of the family's 2925-position model. Lineage: Eukaryota; Metazoa; Chordata; Amphibia; Anura; Mantellidae. The record is from RNAcentral.
ACCCCAUGGAGCUUUAAACCUAGCCACACCCAAAAUCUUUAUACCUAACUAUUAUCUGAACCCUGUAAGCUAGGCUUUAGGUUGGGGUGACCGCGGAGUAAAACAAAACCUCCGCAAUGAACGAAACUACCGUCUUAUCUAAGAAUAACCCCUCUAAGAAUUAGCACUCUAACAUAAAUGAUCCAAUUAUUGAUCAACGGACCAAGUUACCCUGGGGAUAACAGCGCAAUCCACUUCAAGAGCUCCUAUCGACAGGUGGGUUUACGACCUCGAUGUUGGAUCAGGGUAUCCCAGUGGUGUAGCAGCUACUAAUGGCUCGUUUGUUCAACGAUUAAAACCCU